UACGUAGGGUGCAGGCGUUAAUCGGAAUUACUGGGCGUAAAGCGUGCGCAGGCGGCUCCUUAAGUCAGAUGUGAAAUCCCCGGGCUUAACCUGGGAACUGCGUUUGAUACUGUGGGGCUUGAGUGUGGAAGAGGGGGGUGGAAUUCCAGGUGUAGCAGUGAAAUGCGUAGAGAUCUGGAGGAACACCGGUGGCGAAGGCGGCAUCCUGGACCGGCAUUGACGCUGAGGCGCGAAAGCCAGGGGAGCAAACGGG
RNAcentral lists this ribosomal RNA (253 nucleotides) under uncultured prokaryote. Its description in RNAcentral is "partial 16S ribosomal RNA". It matches the Rfam family "Bacterial small subunit ribosomal RNA", at positions 524 to 776 of the family's 1533-position model. The record is from RNAcentral.